CAGUAGCCGCGGUAAUACGAAGGGUGCAAGCGUUACUCGGAAUUACUGGGCGUAAAGCGUGCGUAGGUGGUGGUUUAAGUCCGUUGUGAAAGCCCUGGGCUCAACCUGGGAAUUGCAGUGGAUACUGGGUCACUAGAGUGUGGUAGAGGAUAGUGGAAUUUCCGGUGUAGCAGUGGAAUGCGUAGAGAUCGGAAGGAACAUCUGUGGCGAAGGCGACUAUCUGGGCCAACACUGACACUGAGGCACGAAAGCGUGGGGAGCAAACAGGAUUAGAUACCCCUGUAGUCCCUGUCUCUUAUAC
RNAcentral lists this ribosomal RNA (301 nucleotides) under uncultured bacterium. RNAcentral's name for it is "partial 16S ribosomal RNA". It matches the Rfam family "Bacterial small subunit ribosomal RNA", at positions 509 to 807 of the family's 1533-position model. The record is from RNAcentral.